CAGCCAAUCAGCUAUCAGCAACCAGGGCCCACAGGAACCCAGUGUGGUUUGGUUCUUUCCAUCUGUGAUAUGGAUCAGAACAGUGAAGAGCGUGUGACGUAGAAGCCCAACCACAGCAGAGGAGAUGAGGAGAUAAGAAUGAGGAGGAGCUGACAGGUGUCAUGAGGAAACACAGAGACAGAGCAGAGACGAGCAGAGCAUGAGAGUGGACAUGGAGCACACACUGGUGGUCAUCUGGAUGUCCUUCUGGAUUCAAGGGCUCCUGUCUGAAAACAACAGCACUUCAACAGGUAAGAAAUGCACAAAGGAGGGAUGU
Long non-coding RNA from Sphaeramia orbicularis (orbiculate cardinalfish), 316 nucleotides. RefSeq lists it as uncharacterized. NCBI's taxonomy places the organism in Eukaryota, Metazoa, Chordata, Actinopteri, Kurtiformes, Apogonidae. The transcript is spliced from 3 exons. The record is from RefSeq and is a predicted model, not a curated record.